UACGGAGGGUGCAAACGUUGCUCGGAAUCAUUGGGCGUAAAGGGCGCGUAGGCGGCCACCGCAAGUCGGUUGUGAAAUCUCCGGGCUUAACCCGGAAAGGUCAAUCGAUACUGCGGGGCUAGAGUGCAGAAGGGGCAACUGGAAUUCUCGGUGUAGCGGUGAAAUGCGUAGAUAUCGAGAGGAACACCUGCGGCGAAGGCGGGUUGCUGGGCUGACACUGACGCUGAAGCGCGAAAGCUAGGGGAGCGAACGGG
This 254-nucleotide ribosomal RNA is filed under the name uncultured bacterium. RNAcentral's name for it is "partial 16S ribosomal RNA". It matches the Rfam family "Bacterial small subunit ribosomal RNA", at positions 524 to 776 of the family's 1533-position model. The record is from RNAcentral.